AAACAAAACACUAUUUUAGGUGCUGGGAAUAUAGCAGUGAACAAAGCACAGAACUCUGCCUUCAUGGAGCUUGCAUUCCAGCAGGAAGAUCGAGACAAGAAACAAUACAUGUAACAGAUAAGCAAUUCACGAGGUUUAUUAGAAGGUGAGAAGUAUAUUGAAAAAGGUGAGAAGUAUAUUGAAAAAUGAAAAAGCAGAACAAGGUGAGGAACUUCAGUUGUGGGCAGAAGGGAAGCAGGUUGCAGAAGGAAACAUGAGUGCAGCAGGUGAGGCAGGUGACAUUGUCUUUCCAAAAACUGGAUUUUACAUAUUUGAAUAGUUCUUCCAAUAAUCAUUCACGGUGUCUUAUCUUUCGAGUAGCAUUUCUUUUUUUUUUUUUUUUGAGACACGGUCUCACUCUCACCCACUCCCUCUGUCUCACGGUGUCACUCUGUCAUUCCACCCAGGCUGGAGCGCAGUGGUGCAAUCACGACUCAUUGCAGCCUCAACCUCCUGGGCUCAAGCAAUCCUCCCACCUCAGCCUCCUGAGUAUCUGGUACUACAGGAAUGUGCCACCAUGCCUGGCUAAUUUUUAUUUUUUGUAGAGAUGAGGUUUCACUGUGUUGUCCAGGCUGGUCUUGACCUCUUGGGCUCAAGUGAUCCUCCCACCUUGGCCUCUCAAAGUGCUGGGAUUAUAGGUGUGAGCCACUGUGCCUGGCCUGAAGUGCUAUUUCUUUAACAGCUGCUUUUGGUAUCAAUACCCUGUUGGUUAUUAGUUUAAAAUUUUAGUCAAUGAUGCUUUUUGGGUGGGUGUGAAGGGGGAAGAAAAUCUUGAGCAUGUAAUGACUUAAAUUGUUUCCCAAAUCAAAUUAAAUUCUGGGCCAGUAUAAGACCUACACACUCACAUUUCACAAGUGAGGGCAUGGAUGGGGGUAGGGGCAGGCAGGGAAAGGAGAAAAGAGGACAAUCAGCACCCCUGAGGGGCUGAACAUAGGGGGCAUCCAAAACGUGCUUGCUGUGGGAAGAAUGGCCUCAGGAAAUCCUGACCCAAAUCCUGCACACAGUGUGGGCAGAUCUCACCUAUUCUGUUAAAGGGUCCAAUCAUUUUUUGUUUUAACCUGAAGGAUUUAAAUUGAAGUAGCAUAGGUAUAACUUAUGAAGUAUUCAAAGUGUCCUAGCUUACUCACUCUCUCAUUUUUUUAAUUUUUAAUACCGUUAGCUGUUUUUUAAUAACUGGCACUCAGAUAGUGUAUAAUUAUUCUACUAUACAUGUCUCCGGGAAAAAAAAAUUCUUUCUCCAUGUGGCGAGGCAAGGAAGUCUUCGUGUUCCACCACCGCAGGCUGUUUGGCAGGAGUGGUCUGUUUAAUGAUCUCCCCCAGCUGUGCUCACUGAGUCAGUGAGCUCUGCAUCUGCCUCUCUGUCUGCAUGUUGUCUGGGCUGUGAUCCAUGUGAGGAGUGCAGAUUAGUGGGGAGGAUAAACAGCAUCACUUCAAUGAGACGGUGGAGCCAGAGGCCUGUUUUUUAUCUUAUGAUGGUGUGCAAGCUUCUCUCUAGCAACCUCCAAACAGUCACUGAAUUAAUGGCUAUUUUCAAGGGAGAGAAAAGACUCUCAGGCUAUGUCAGAUUCUCAGAGUUUGGUAAUCUGGAAAGGGUUAAGAACUUGCUGCCAUAAUUCUAUCACAGACUGCUCUUGCUUCUACAGAAAAACAAAAAACAAAAAACACGGAGCAUCUUAAGAAGAAUCUCCUAUCUGAAUCUAAGACAAGAAAAUGGCAUUUUUGUCUACUUUUAUUUGCAGUGAUGGCAUUUUUGUCUACUUGUAUUUGCAAUGUUUAUUCUGUCUUCCCUCUACCCCCUCACACCAGCACCAAUUAUUCCACACCUGCUGGUGAACAAGCAGAGGCCUCUUUACACCUAUAUCCGCAUGGUCUUCAUUACUGGAUUGAGAAAAACACUGAUGAUGAAGUAGUUUUCCGCCCAUUACCUGUCUCUAAUAAUAUGCUUGUCAUCACAAUUAGUUUCACCAUCCCUGGCUUGCUUUUCUGUCAUUUCUUUCCCUUGAGUUCUGUUAAUAGCAGAAAUUGGCUGCUAAACUAUUAUUCUGGUCUGUGUAAUGGGGCUGAUGGCAGAAACAUUCUGCUUCUUUUGACAACUGGGUAUGAUUUGUAAAGGUGUGAAGAAGAAUUGCUAAUACUUCUGGGCUCCAUUACAUUAACCUGGAAGGCAUUCUACCCAAGAAAUGAAUCCAAUAUUAAAUUGCC
RNAcentral lists this long non-coding RNA (2241 nucleotides) under Homo sapiens (human). RNAcentral's name for it is "HSALNT0322884". Lineage: Eukaryota; Metazoa; Chordata; Mammalia; Primates; Hominidae. The record is from RNAcentral.